CAAUAGCGUAUAUUAAAGCUGUUGCGGUUAAAAAGCUCGUAGUUGGAUUUCUGUCAAGGACAACUGGUCCGCCCUCCGGGUGAGCACAUAGUUUGGUCUUGACAUCUUGCUGGAAGCUGUUGCUGCACUUGGCUGUGUGGCGCAGUGUUCAGCACUUUCACUUUGAGGAAAUUGGAGUGUUUCAAGCAGGCACAUGCCUUUGGACACAGUAGCAUGGAAUAAUUAGAUUGGGCUUUUGCUCCAAUUUGUCGGUUCCUGGAGCUGAGGUGAGUAUUAAUGGGGAUUGUUGGGGGCAUCCGAAUUUAGCCGUCAGAGGUGAAAUUCUUGGAUCUGCUAAAGACGGACAACUGCGAAAGCGUUUGCCCAGGAUGUUUUCAUUGA
Molecule: ribosomal RNA, 381 nt
Filed under: uncultured eukaryote
Lineage: Eukaryota
Description: partial 18S ribosomal RNA
Rfam family: Eukaryotic small subunit ribosomal RNA
Source: RNAcentral